GACAGUUUAACUUGAUGGUUUAGUACAGAGUUGAUGUUGGAUGCUUUCAGUUUUCUCCCAACUCCUCUCCCAAGUGAAAUUAAGAAGCAGUGGAAAACCCAGAUGAGCUAUCUCAAUGCUCUUGGGUUAGAUUUGAAGGCAACACAUCUGUUUUUGACGCUAUGCUGUUGCAUUCUUUCUGAGAUCCCCAUGAACUGGUUCAUCAACUGUGGUUUUAUGGAGAAGAAGAUUGGUUUUCUCGGUUAUAGAGCUAAGAUAUGGCUCAAAUUGUGGGAGAAGAUCCCUGCGAGCGUUUGGAAGCUCCACCAGUACUACCAGUAUAUUUGGUCGAAGAAAUUUCCCAGAAGAUGGUGGAAGAACCUUUUGAUAGCCUGGGUAAUUGGUUGGAUCCUGGUGUCGUUCUGGACCUUCUGGUACAUGAGCUCUCUGGUGACUGAGAGGAGGAAAGAGGCCAUUGCGAGCAUGUGUGAUGAGCGGGCGAGAAUGCUUCAGGACCAGUUCAAUGUCAGCAUGAAUCAUGUUCAGGCUUUGUCCAUUCUCAUUUCAACCUUUCACCAUGGGAAGAAUCCAUCCUCUAUUGAUCAGGCAACUUUUGCAAAGUAUACAGAGCGAACCACCUUUGAAAGGCCACUAACCAGUGGUGUGGCUUAUGCUGUUAGGGUGCUUCACCCAGAAAGGGAACAUUUUGAGAAACAACAAGGCUGGACUAUUAAGAGGAUGGAUACAAUGGAACAGACACAGGUUCAGGAGGAUGACUAUGCCCCUGAAACCCAGGAUCCAUCUCCCGUUCAAGAAGAAUAUGCCCCGGUUAUCUUUGCACAGGAUACCAUUUCACAUGUGAUUUCUAUUGACAUGCUCUCGGGGAAGGAAGAUCGUGAGAAUGUAUUACGUGCUAGAGCAUCAGGAAAAGGGGUCCUUACUGCUCCAUUUAGGUUACUCAAAUCAAAUCGCCUUGGUGUCAUACUGACUUUUGCUGUUUACAAGUCAGAGCUCCCGUCAAAUGCAACCCCAAAUGAGCAAAUCCAAGCUACUGAUGGGUACAUAGGUGGAGUCUUUGAUGUAGAGUCUCUUGUGGAGAAGUUGCUACACCAGCUUGCAAGCAAGCAAACCAUCAUUGUGAAUGUUUAUGACUCCACCAAUCUCUCGCAUCCAAUUAGCAUGUAUGGUUCAGAUGAAGAUAUUGAUGAUGAGAUGUAUCACAUAAGCACCCUAAAUUUCGGUGACCCAAUCAGGAAGCAUGAGAUGCAUUGCAGAUUCAAGCAGAAGCCACCGUGGCCUUGGUUGGCAAUAACUACUUCAAUUGGUGUUCUUGUGAUUGCAUUGCUUUUGGGGCAUAUAAUCCAUGCAACAAUAAAUCGUAUUGCCAAAGUGGAGGAUGAUUACCAAAAGAUGAUGGGGCUCAAAAAACGGGCUGAGGCAGCAGAUGUCGCAAAAUCUCAGUUUCUUGCCACUGUUUCCCAUGAGAUCAGAACCCCAAUGAAUGGUGUUCUAGGGAUGUUGCAAAUGCUCAUGGACACAGAUCUAGAUAUAACACAGCAAGAUUAUGUGAGAACAGCCCAGGCCAGUGGCAAAGCCCUGGUUUCACUUAUAAACGAGGUUUUAGACCAGGCCAAGAUUGAAUCUGGUAAGCUUGAACUGGAGGCUGUCCGGUUUGAUCUGAGGGCAAUUUUGGAUGAUGUCUUGUCACUUUUCUCUGGGAAGUCUCAAGACAAGGGGAUAGAGUUGGCAGUGUAUAUCUCUAAUCGGGUUCCUGAAAUUGUAAUUGGAGAUCCGGGGAGAUUUAGGCAGAUCAUCACGAAUCUCAUGGGGAAUUCAAUCAAAUUCACUGAGAAAGGACACAUCUUUGUGACCGUCCAUCUUGUUGAGGAGGUGAUAAACUCAAUUGAAGUAGAGACAGAUGUAUCAUCAAAGAACACCUUGAGUGGGUUGCUCGUGGCAGACAGACGCCGCAGCUGGGAAACGUUCAAGAAGUUCAGUCAAGAGGGACGCAUGUGUCCACAGGCUUUCUUGUCAACCUCCUCAGAGCUCAUCAAUCUAAUUGUAUCGGUUGAAGAUACGGGUGUGGGCAUCCCUCUUGAAGCUCAAUCUCGUGUUUUCACCCCUUUUAUGCAGGUUGGACCUUCCAUUGCCCGUACCCAUGGGGGAACAGGUAUUGGACUGAGUAUAAGCAAGUGUUUAGUUGGUAUGAUGAAUGGGGAGAUUGGAUUUGUCAGUGAACCCCAGAUUGGGUCCACUUUUACCUUCACUGUUGUCUUCACCAAUGUUUGCUCCAAUUUAAAUGAGUACAAAAACCAGCAGAAUAAUCAGUCCAAGUCUUUGUCAUCAGAAUUUCAUGGGAUAACAGCAUUGGUCGUGGACCCCAGACCUGUGAGGGCAAAAGUGACAAGAUAUCAUCUGCAACGGCUUGGGAUUCAAGUUGAAAUAACUUCUGAUCUGAAUGAAGGUUUUGAUAGCAUAGCCUCUGGAACUGCAGUUAUCAACAUGGUCCUUGUUGAGAAAGAAGUGUGGGAUGAGGAUAUGGAUCUCUCAAAAUGCUUUGUUAACAAUUUGAGGAAGAUUGACCUAGUGGAUCCCCCAAAACUGGUGCUUCUGGAAAAUUCCAUCAGUUCUACCAAAACCAGUUCUGCAAACUCUGGUGGGUAUACCCCGACUAUUAUCUCUAAGCCCCUCAGGGCUAGUAUGCUGGCAGCAUCUCUGCAACGAGCAAUGGGUGCUGCAAGCAAGGUCAACUGCCACAACAGAGGGCUCCCAAUUCUCUCUCUCCGCAAUCUUCUUCAUGGGAAGCGUAUUCUUGUUGUAGAUGACAAUAAUGUCAACCUCAGGGUUGCUGCUGGUGCUUUGAAGAAGUAUGGAGCAGAUGUGGAGUGUAGAGACACUGGGAAAAAGGCAAUUUCAAUGCUUAGACCACCUCACCACUUUGAUGCCUGCUUCAUGGAUAUUCAGAUGCCAGAAAUGGAUGGGUUUGAAGCGACAAGAAGGAUUCGGGAUAUGGAACUUGACAUUAACUGUCGUAUUCAGCAUGGAGAAGUAUCUGCAGCAGCUUAUGGAAACAUUUCGAACUGGCAUGUACCCAUUUUAGCAAUGACUGCUGAUGUCAUUCAGGCUACACACGAGGAGUGCUUGAGAUGUGGUAUGGAUGGCUAUGUAUCUAAACCAUUUGAAGGAGAACAACUGUACCGGGAAGUUACACGCUUUUUCAAUUCGAACUCGGACACACCCCCAAAAGCAUGCACUUAAAACAUACUUGGUGGGGAUGCAAGUACAAACAGUUAUUCUCCUGGACGCAUUGAGAUGCUUAAAUGGGUAUUUAGUUUGUUAUGAAGAGUUUGAGAAAAAGAAAAAAAAUAUAUCUGGUUGUUUGCUGGAGUGUGUUUCUGUGUGCAUGGCAUGCUCAAUUAUGCUGGGUGGCCUUUCGUCAUCUGGAAUCCAAUCUAAUUGCAGAACCAAUUGCUCUCACUUCCAUUGGAUUCAAUGCCUCGAUGUCCAAACGUACAGGUGAAGGAUUGCAGAGACCAAACUGAAUACCAAGGAUUAUUACUGUGAAAGGCAUGGAAGAAGAAACCAUGCACUUGGAUCAAUCAUGGAAGCUUCAGGAUUUACCAGAUAAUGUCCCCUACCCAUCUGAUAAUGAAGUUGGGAGCAUUGGGGAGAUUCUUUUUGGUUUCCCUCUAAAAAUUGAGGGUGUAUUAUAGAGGUUUAUUUCAUACAGGUAUGAUACAUAACACGUGCUUUUUCAGGAAAAGAAGAAUUGAUCAGUGUACAACAAAUCAAUUAAAAGAUCAUUUAGGUUUAUUCACUGUACCCUUUGUGUAUAUAUCCUUCCACAAUCUGUUUUUAUUACCAAAAAGGAGGUAAAAAGCAGAAG
RNA transcript from Telopea speciosissima, 3865 nucleotides. It is a transcript of the gene named histidine kinase 3-like, with no coding region annotated. The transcript is spliced from 12 exons. The record is from RefSeq and is a predicted model, not a curated record. Lineage: Eukaryota; Viridiplantae; Streptophyta; Magnoliopsida; Proteales; Proteaceae.